This 74-nucleotide transfer RNA is filed under the name Angustibacter aerolatus. Its description in RNAcentral is "tRNA-Ala". It matches the Rfam family "tRNA". From Rfam's summary of the family: Transfer RNA (tRNA) molecules are approximately 80 nucleotides in length. Their secondary structure includes four short double-helical elements and three loops (D, anti-codon, and T loops). The record is from RNAcentral. Lineage: Bacteria; Bacillati; Actinomycetota; Actinomycetes; Kineosporiales; Kineosporiaceae.
GGGGCUGUGGCGCAGGCUGGUAGCGCACUUGCAUGGCAUGCAAGGGGUCAGGGGUUCGAAUCCCCUCAGGCUCC